This 441-nucleotide ribosomal RNA is filed under the name uncultured bacterium. RNAcentral's name for it is "partial 16S ribosomal RNA". It matches the Rfam family "Bacterial small subunit ribosomal RNA", at positions 338 to 795 of the family's 1533-position model. The record is from RNAcentral.
CCUACGGGAGGCAGCAGUGGGGAAUAUUGCACAAUGGGGGAAACCCUGAUGCAGCAACGCCGCGUGAGUGAAGAAGGAUUUCGGAUUGUAAAGCUCUGUUAGCAGGGAAGAGGAAGGACGGUACCUGCAGAGGAAGCCACGGCUAACUACGUGCCAGCAGCCGCGGUAAUACGUAGGUGGCAAGCGUUGUUCGGAAUUACUGGGCGUAAAGGGAGCGUAGGCGGGUACACAAGUUAUAUGUUAAAUAUAUCGGCUUAACCGGUAGACUGCAUAUGAAACUGUUGAACUAGAGUGCAGGAGAGGUAAGUGGAAUUCCUAGUGUAGCGGUGAAAUGCGUAGAGAUUAGGAAGAACACCAGUGGCGAAGGCGGCUUACUGGACUGUAACUGACGCUGAGGCAUGAGAGCGUGGGGAGCAAACAGGAUUAGAUACCCUAGUAGUC